Long non-coding RNA from Hypomesus transpacificus, 477 nucleotides. RefSeq lists it as uncharacterized. The record is from RefSeq and is a predicted model, not a curated record. Lineage: Eukaryota; Metazoa; Chordata; Actinopteri; Osmeriformes; Osmeridae. The transcript is spliced from 4 exons.
UUGCCCUCCACUCACCGCCAGAUCGUUGUUUUUACAACCUGAAACAUCCCACUCGCCAUCUGCCCAUUUGUCUGUCUACUCUUUCAACUCAAUGAUGAGUGAUUUGCAGUUGAUGGAAUUGGAGGAUGAGCUCAAGAGUGUAGAUACAUUUCUUGAACAUCUCAAGACAGAAGAGACAGAGAAGAACAGACAGAAAACUAAGACCACAUCACCAAAGCCUGUUCAUUGGAAGAAGAGGGACCACAAUGGGGACAUUGUUCACCAGCGCCCACGAGCCCUUAGAAAGCAGUCAACAUCACAAAGACCAGACGAAGGAAGACAUGUUUCUUCUUCACCGCCAUUAGACCAUGGCCAACACCUAGACCAUGAUUUGAAUAUGCGGCAGCUUGAGGACCUUCUACAGGACUCAGAGAACAUGGAAUCACAAGAUUUUGUUCAGCAGCCACCAUUGUCCAGUUGGAUUCAAAGGCAGAAAGA